CUACCAUGAUGACUUCAGAAUUCUCUCUUCCUGAAUUGCUUUGAUGUAACUGUUCUAACCUGAGUAGC
Molecule: small nucleolar RNA, 68 nt
Filed under: Danio rerio (zebrafish)
Lineage: Eukaryota; Metazoa; Chordata; Actinopteri; Cypriniformes; Danionidae
Description: small nucleolar RNA SNORD26
Source: RNAcentral